GACGAACCGUGCGAACGUUGUUCGGAAUCACUGGGCUUAAAGGGCGCGUAGGCGGUCUGCCAAGUCCGGGGUGAAAGCCCCCAGCUCAACUGGGGAAGUGCCUUGGAUACUGGCGGACUCGAGGGAGGCAGGGGUUGUGGGAACUUCCGGUGGAGCGGUGAAAUGCGUUGAUAUCGGAAGGAACGCCGGUGGCGAAAGCGCACAACUGGUCCUCUUCUGACGCUGAGGCGCGAAAGCCAGGGGAGCGAACGGG
RNAcentral lists this ribosomal RNA (253 nucleotides) under uncultured bacterium. RNAcentral describes it as "partial 16S ribosomal RNA". It matches the Rfam family "Bacterial small subunit ribosomal RNA", at positions 524 to 776 of the family's 1533-position model. The record is from RNAcentral.